CAGUAGCCACGGGAAUACAGAGGGUGCGAGCGUUAAUCGGAUUUACUGGGCGUAAAGCGUGCGUAGGCGGCUUCUUAAGUCGGAUGUGAAAUCCCUGAGCUUAACUUAGGAAUUGCAUUCGAUACUGGGAAGCUAGAGUAUGGGAGAGGAUGGUAGAAUUCCAGGUGUAGCGGUGAAAUGCGUAGAGAUCUGGAGGAAUACCGAUGGCGAAGGCAGCCAUCUGGCCUAAUACUGACGCUCAGGUGCGAAAGCGUGGGGAGCAAACAGGAUUAGAUACCCGUGUAGUCCCUGUCUCUUAUAA
This 301-nucleotide ribosomal RNA is filed under the name uncultured bacterium. RNAcentral describes it as "partial 16S ribosomal RNA". It matches the Rfam family "Bacterial small subunit ribosomal RNA", at positions 509 to 809 of the family's 1533-position model. The record is from RNAcentral.